Long non-coding RNA from Poecilia latipinna (sailfin molly), 900 nucleotides. RefSeq lists it as uncharacterized. NCBI's taxonomy places the organism in Eukaryota, Metazoa, Chordata, Actinopteri, Cyprinodontiformes, Poeciliidae. The transcript has 2 exons. The record is from RefSeq and is a predicted model, not a curated record.
AUUUAAAAAUGAAGCAGGCAGGAUUUUUUUAUUUUAUUUCUGCAUCUCACUGUUCUGAUAUUUUAUUGCAUUUAAGAGUGUUGCUGAACAGGACUAAACACUCAGUAUUGUCAUUUAUGAUUUUUUUAGAAGUCGUACUUCCCUGAUGAUGAGGUUGAGCUUUAAUCGUUUCCUACAUGGUCACUUUUUCUCCUGCCUACUCAUCAGUUUAUACCAGAAAAGGUUUUGGAAGUGUUUUAAGGUGAUGAAGUAAUUUCUACUGAAGUAUGAAAUGUGGAAUUCAGUGCCUCCUUAGGGCUUCUCAGUAUGAAUUUCCAGCUUUCUUCUGUGCAUAUUCAGAUUACUUUUAAGUUGGAAUGCUCCAUUGAAAUCUAAUCUGUAAAAUUUCAGACAGAAAACUAGUUCUUAAACGUAUAAAUGCUCUGGGUUGUAUUUGCUUUUAGAGAAUGGUCAGGCAGGGAAGCGUGAAAUGAGAGGGAGAAGUCAUCAGGCUGGGACUCGAACCUGUGACGGCCGCAACAACUCGGCGCCCAUUUUGGGUUGUAUUUAAAUGUGUUAUUAACCAAUAAAUGUCUUUAUUCUGUAGUCAUAUAUUACAUAGCGUCUCAUUGGAAACUGGAGUCCACAGAUUUACUUCAGCAGCUCUGUGGUCAGACUGUUCAAACGAUGAUUCACACUGUGGGAGUGACGCGCUGCGCUUACUCUACAAUUACAAAAGCUCUGGUUUUACGUCGCAAGAUGUAUUGAAUGAAAAUGUAAACCUUCACCUCAGCUCACCUGAGCAAUCUUUGCUUUAGCCGCAUGCAGACAGUGAAGAAGCUGAGGGGUGACUCCUUUGGUGUGACUUAGAUUUUUAUUUUUUUGCAUUUAUGAAAAUUAAAUGAAAUCACCCAAAGUUCA